RNAcentral lists this ribosomal RNA (422 nucleotides) under uncultured Alphaproteobacteria bacterium. Its description in RNAcentral is "bacterial SSU rRNA". It matches the Rfam family "Bacterial small subunit ribosomal RNA", at positions 39 to 495 of the family's 1533-position model. The record is from RNAcentral. Lineage: Bacteria; Pseudomonadati; Pseudomonadota; Alphaproteobacteria.
GCUGCAUGCUUUAUACAUGCAAGUCGAACGGAGGCCCUAGCUUGCUAGGUGUCCUUAGUGGCGCACGGGUGAGUAACACGUGGGAACAUACCUUAUAGUACGGAAUAACUGCGGGAAACUGUAGCUAAUACCGUAUACUCCAGUAAUGGGAAAGAUUUAUCGCUAUAAGAUUGGCCCGCGCAAGAUUAGCUUGUUGGUGAGGUAAAAGCUCACCAAGGCUUCGAUCUUUAGCUGGUUUGAGAGGACGAUCAGCCACACUGGGACUGAGACACGGCCCAGACUCCUACGGGAGGCAGCAGUAGGGAAUAUUGGACAAUGGGGGCAACCCUGAUCCAGCAAUGCAGCGUGAGUGACGAAGGCCUUAGGGUUGUAAAACUCUUUCAUCGGUGAGGAUAAUGACAGUAGCCGAAGAAGAAGGACCG